AGCAGCCGCGGUAAUUCCAGCUCCAAUAGCGUAUAUUAAAGUUGCUGCAGUUAAAAAGCUCGUAGUUGAAUUUCGGGAUCAAUAUGUUGGUCGUGCCUUGGUGCGUACUAGUUUAUUGAUUUCUCCCUUCUGACGAACUAUGAUGCCAUUAAUUUGGUGUCAUGGGGAAUCAGGACUGUUACUUUGAAAAAAUUAGAGUGUUUAAAGCAGGCUCACGCUUGAAUACAUUAGCAUGGAAUAAUAAAAUAGGACGUUUGAUUCUAUUUUGUUGGUUUCUAGGAUCGACGUAAUGAUUAAUAGGGAUAGUUGGGGGCAUUAGUAUUCAAUUGUCAGAGGUGAAAUUCUUGGAUUUAUUGAAGACUAACUACUGCGAAAGCAUUUGCCAAGGAUGUUUUCAUUAAUCAAGAACGAAAGUUAGGGGAUCGAAGACGAUCAGAUACCGUCGUAGUCUUAACCAUAAACUAUGCCGACUAGGGAUCGGAUGAUGUAAUUUUUAAUGA
Molecule: ribosomal RNA, 500 nt
Filed under: uncultured Glomus
Lineage: Eukaryota; Fungi; Glomeromycota; Glomeromycetes; Glomerales; Glomeraceae
Description: SSU rRNA
Rfam family: Eukaryotic small subunit ribosomal RNA
Source: RNAcentral